GGUGGCUCAGCAGUAGAGUGCAUGCCUUGCAAGCACGAGGCCCUGGGUUCGAUUCCUUAGCACCA
Molecule: transfer RNA, 65 nt
Filed under: Dipodomys ordii (Ord's kangaroo rat)
Lineage: Eukaryota; Metazoa; Chordata; Mammalia; Rodentia; Heteromyidae
Rfam family: tRNA
About the family: Transfer RNA (tRNA) molecules are approximately 80 nucleotides in length. Their secondary structure includes four short double-helical elements and three loops (D, anti-codon, and T loops).
Source: Rfam by way of RNAcentral